Molecule: transfer RNA, 78 nt
Filed under: Ipomoea nil (Japanese morning glory)
Lineage: Eukaryota; Viridiplantae; Streptophyta; Magnoliopsida; Solanales; Convolvulaceae
Rfam family: tRNA
About the family: Transfer RNA (tRNA) molecules are approximately 80 nucleotides in length. Their secondary structure includes four short double-helical elements and three loops (D, anti-codon, and T loops). Further hydrogen bonds mediate the characteristic L-shaped molecular structure. tRNAs have two regions of fundamental functional importance: the anti-codon, which is responsible for specific mRNA codon recognition, and the 3' end, to which the tRNAs corresponding amino acid is attached (by aminoacyl-tRNA synthetases). tRNAs cope with the degeneracy of the genetic code in two manners: having more than one tRNA (with a specific anti-codon) for a particular amino acid; and 'wobble' base-pairing, i.e. permitting non-standard base-pairing at the 3rd anti-codon position.
Source: Rfam by way of RNAcentral
GGUUUCGUGGUGUAGUUGGUUAUCACGUCAGUCUAACACAUUAAUUAAAGGUCUCCGGUUCAAGUCUGGGCAAAGCCA